Molecule: long non-coding RNA, 840 nt
Organism: Episyrphus balteatus (marmalade hoverfly)
Lineage: Eukaryota; Metazoa; Arthropoda; Insecta; Diptera; Syrphidae
Exons: 2
Source: RefSeq, a predicted model, not a curated record
UAAGAUAAUUUGCGAAAUUAUUUCAUUUCGGCUCUAGUUAUUAACAAGUUAUUACAAAAAUAAUAAUUUUUUCUCAUAAUUCAAUAUUUUGUGGAUAAGACGUCGCCUCAAUAAAAUAUUGUCGUAUGUGCAAAAUUGAGGUUUUGAGAUUUGAAUGCAGUUUUGCUAAUUGAUUUUUUCUCUUUCAUUCUGUGAAAUCCGUUUUUCGAUAUCUGUCUUUGUUUCCGAGAUAAUCAGUAUGCAUUUUGUCGUAUGUGUAGGUUUACAAACAUUUUCAGUAUCUAUUUGUCGUAAGUGCACUAUAAACGUGCACAUACGACAAAAAUUAUCACAUACUACAAUUUUUUCAUACAAAAUCUGUGUUUUCUUCGUUCGGUAAAUAAUUGUAGUAUGUGCUAUUUUUGCUACACAUACGACAAUAUUUUACUGGAAUUUCGGUAAACGUUUGUCGUAUGUCCCAUAAGGAAAUACACAGACGAGUGUAAUUUCAGUCGCAAUCAAGAUGUCGAGCAGGGCUGACGAGUCACCUGCGCCAAGUUUAUCGGAGGUGCUUUAUGCCAUGAGCAACGAAAUAUUGGAUGAUGAAUUCCCCGAUGUCGAUCCAUUAGGUUCGCCCAAUGAGUGUUCUGAAUCCAGUGACAAGGAAUUUUCAGCAGACGAUGAAGAUAACGGCGCGCGAUCCCACGUACCAGUUAGAAAAUCAAAAUGAAAACUCGGCCCUCCGAAAUUUUUAUGAAGCUGCACAUGAUAUUCUUAUGUCUAUACUCCAUCCACAUCUAAAAAUAAUCAACCCAACGAUCGGAAUCUACCAUUCUAAUUCUAAAAAUUGUUCAAAAAUAA